RNAcentral lists this ribosomal RNA (482 nucleotides) under uncultured bacterium. RNAcentral's name for it is "bacterial SSU rRNA". It matches the Rfam family "Bacterial small subunit ribosomal RNA", at positions 30 to 506 of the family's 1533-position model. The record is from RNAcentral.
UUGAACGCUGGCGGCAUGCCUUACACAUGCAAGUCGAACGGCAGCACGGGGGCAACCCUGGUGGCGAGUGGCGAACGGGUGAGUAAUACAUCGGAACGUGCCCUGAAGUGGGGGAUAACGUAGCGAAAGUUACGCUAAUACCGCAUAUUCUGUGAGCAGGAAAGCAGGGGAUCGCAAGACCUUGCGCUUUAGGAGCGGCCGAUGUCGGAUUAGCUAGUUGGUGAGGUAAAGGCUCACCAAGGCGACGAUCCGUAGCGGGUCUGAGAGGAUGAUCCGCCACACUGGGACUGAGACACGGCCCAGACUCCUACGGGAGGCAGCAGUGGGGAAUUUUGGACAAUGGGCGCAAGCCUGAUCCAGCAAUGCCGCGUGCAGGAAGAAGGCCUUCGGGUUGUAAACUGCUUUUGUACGGAACGAAAAGGUCUGGGUUAAUACCCUGGGCCCAUGACGGUACCGUAAGAAUAAGCACCGGCUAACUACGU